Long non-coding RNA from Xiphophorus hellerii (green swordtail), 234 nucleotides. RefSeq lists it as uncharacterized. Lineage: Eukaryota; Metazoa; Chordata; Actinopteri; Cyprinodontiformes; Poeciliidae. The transcript is spliced from 3 exons. The record is from RefSeq and is a predicted model, not a curated record.
CAGCAUGUCAGAUUUGCAGAAGACAAAUGCAGUUUUUAUUGUGUUAUUUGUCAUUUUGACUGCAAGUGUGAUUAUUAUAUUCAUUCUCACUUACAUCCUCAUGAAGAAAACUUGUCACUGUUCAAAUGAUGCUAAAGGGGGUCAUGAUGAUCAGCAGAUUCAGCAGAGAGGCGAGAACUCGUUGGUUUACAGUGCUCCCAUAUUGACCAACAGGAAAGCUGCCAGAACAGAGAG